Molecule: ribosomal RNA, 301 nt
Filed under: uncultured bacterium
Lineage: Bacteria
Description: partial 16S ribosomal RNA
Rfam family: Bacterial small subunit ribosomal RNA
Source: RNAcentral
CAGUAGCCGCGGUAAAACGAAGGGGGCUAGCGUUGCUCGGAAUGACUGGGCGUAAAGGGCGCGUAGGCGGCGAUCAAAGUCAGGCGUGAAAUUCCUGGGCUCAACCUGGGGGCUGCGCUUGAUACUGGGUUGCUUGAGUGGGGAAGAGGGUCGUGGAAUUCCCAGUGUAGAGGUGAAAUUCGUAGAUAUUGGGAAGAACACCGGUGGCGAAGGCGGCGACCUGGUCCUUUACUGACGCUGAGGCGCGAAAGCGUGGGGAGCAAACAGGAUUAGAUACCCCCGUAGUCCCUGUCUCUUAUAC